This 810-nucleotide ribosomal RNA is filed under the name Triticum aestivum (bread wheat). RNAcentral describes it as "partial small subunit ribosomal RNA". The record is from RNAcentral. Lineage: Eukaryota; Viridiplantae; Streptophyta; Magnoliopsida; Poales; Poaceae.
AUUUCGGACGUGACGGCGGUGAUGCAUCUGCGGGGGGAGGAGCCGAGGCUGGCGUUUCCUCUUGGGUUCCGGUUCCACCCCACCGACGAGGAGGUGGUCACGCACUACCUCACCUCCAAGAUCCGCAACCCCAACUUCCCCUGUCUCAUGAUCGCCAACGUCAACCUCAACAACACCGAGCCGUGGGAUCUCCCGAACAAGUCGAAGAUGGGCGUGGGCGAGACGGAGUGGUUCUUUUUUGUGCACAAGGAUCGGAAGUACCCGACGGGGACGCGCACCAACCGGGCGACGAAGAGCGGCUACUGGAAGGCGACGGGUAAGGACAAGGAGAUCUUCCACGGCAGGGGACUGGACGCAGUCCUUGUUGGCAUGAAGAAGACGCUCGUCUUCUACCGCGGCCGCGCCCCCGGCGGCCAGAAGACGGCGUGGGUGAUGCACGAGUACCGCCUCGAGGGCGAGAUGCCCCAUCGCCUACCCCGCUCCGCCAAGGACGAUUGGGCUGUUUGCCGGCUGUUCAACAAAGACUUGGCCGUGAAUGCGCCCCAGAUGGCCCCGGCGGCCGACGGGGGCACGGAGGAGAAGGACCCAUUCGCCUUCCUCGAUGAGUUGCUCAACAGUGAUGACUUGCUCAACAAUGCCGACCCGCCGAUGCUCAUGGACUCCCUGUCAGGCGCCAUAGACUUCGCGGGCGCUUCCAGCUCCACCUCCAGCGCGGCCCUUCCGAUUGAGCUGGACAUGGAGCAUCUGACCAGCAAGACGGAGCCACCGGCGCCGCAGCAGCAGAGCCCAAACUACAUGUGGAAGAUGUGA